RNAcentral lists this ribosomal RNA (1549 nucleotides) under Staphylococcus aureus. RNAcentral's name for it is "16S ribosomal RNA". It matches the Rfam family "Bacterial small subunit ribosomal RNA". The record is from RNAcentral. Lineage: Bacteria; Bacillati; Bacillota; Bacilli; Caryophanales; Staphylococcaceae.
UUUAUGGAGAGUUUGAUCCUGGCUCAGGAUGAACGCUGGCGGCGUGCCUAAUACAUGCAAGUCGAGCGAACGGACGAGAAGCUUGCUUCUCUGAUGUUAGCGGCGGACGGGUGAGUAACACGUGGAUAACCUACCUAUAAGACUGGGAUAACUUCGGGAAACCGGAGCUAAUGCCGGAUAAUAUUUUGAACCGCAUGGUUCAAAAGUGAAAGACGGUCUUGCUGUCACUUAUAGAUGGAUCCGCGCUGCAUUAGCUAGUUGGUAAGGUAACGGCUUACCAAGGCAACGAUGCAUAGCCGACCUGAGAGGGUGAUCGGCCACACUGGAACUGAGACACGGUCCAGACUCCUACGGGAGGCAGCAGUAGGGAAUCUUCCGCAAUGGGCGAAAGCCUGACGGAGCAACGCCGCGUGAGUGAUGAAGGUCUUCGGAUCGUAAAACUCUGUUAUUAGGGAAGAACAUAUGUGUAAGUAACUGUGCACAUCUUGACGGUACCUAAUCAGAAAGCCACGGCUAACUACGUGCCAGCAGCCGCGGUAAUACGUAGGUGGCAAGCGUUAUCCGGAAUUAUUGGGCGUAAAGCGCGCGUAGGCGGUUUUUUAAGUCUGAUGUGAAAGCCCACGGCUCAACCGUGGAGGGUCAUUGGAAACCGGAAAACUUGAGUGCAGAAGAGGAAAGUGGAAUUCCAUGUGUAGCGGUGAAAUGCGCAGAGAUAUGGAGGAACACCAGUGGCGAAGGCGACUUUCUGGUCUGUAACUGACGCUGAUGUGCGAAAGCGUGGGGAUCAAACAGGAUUAGAUACCCUGGUAGUCCACGCCGUAAACGAUGAGUGCUAAGUGUUAGGGGGUUUCCGCCCCUUAGUGCUGCAGCUAACGCAUUAAGCACUCCGCCUGGGGAGUACGACCGCAAGGUUGAAACUCAAAGGAAUUGACGGGGACCCGCACAAGCGGUGGAGCAUGUGGUUUAAUUCGAAGCAACGCGAAGAACCUUACAAAUCUUGACAUCCUUUGACAACUCUAGAGAUAGAGCCUUCUUCGGGGACAAAGUGACAGGUGGUGCAUGGUUGUCGUCAGCUCGUGUCGUGAGAUGUUGGGUUAAGUCCCGCAACGAGCGCAACCCUUAAGCUUAGUUGCCAUCAUUAAGUUGGGCACUCUAAGUUGACUGCCGGUGACAAACCGGAGGAAGGUGGGGAUGACGUCAAAUCAUCAUGCCCCUUAUGAUUUGGGCUACACACGUGCUACAAUGGACAAUACAAAGGGCAGCGAAACCGCGAGGUCAAGCAAAUCCCAUAAAGUUGUUCUCAGUUCGGAUUGUAGUCUGCAACUCGACUACAUGAAGCUGGAAUCGCUAGUAAUCGUAGAUCAGCAUGCUACGGUGAAUACGUUCCCGGGUCUUGUACACACCGCCCGUCACACCACGAGAGUUUGUAACACCCGAAGCCGGUGGAGUAACCUUUUAGGAGCUAGCCGUCGAAGGUGGGACAAAUGAUUGGGGUGAAGUCGUAACAAGGUAGCCGUAUCGGAAGGUGCGGCUGGAUCACCUCCUUUCU